This 478-nucleotide ribosomal RNA is filed under the name uncultured bacterium. Its description in RNAcentral is "partial 16S ribosomal RNA". It matches the Rfam family "Bacterial small subunit ribosomal RNA", at positions 28 to 523 of the family's 1533-position model. The record is from RNAcentral.
GACGAACGCUGGCGGCGUGCUUAACACAUGCAAGUCGGACGGUAAGGCCCUUCGGGGUACACGAGUGGCGAACGGGUGAGUAACACGUGGGUGAUCUGCCCUGCACUUCGGGAUAAGCCUGGGAAACUGGGUCUAAUACCGGAUAGGACCCUGGGAUGCAUGUUCUGGGGUGGAAAGCUUUUGCGGUGUGGGAUGGGCCCGCGGCCUCUCAGCUUGUUGGUGGGGUGAUGGCCUACCAAGGCGACGACGGGUAGCCGGCCUGAGAGGGUGACCGGCCACACUGGGACUGAGAUACGGCCCAUACUCCUACGGGAGGCAGCAGUGGGGAAUAUUGCACAAUGGGCGCAAGCCUGAUGCAGCGACGCCGCGUGAGGGAUGACGGCCUUCGGGUUGUAAACCUCUUUCAGCACCGACGAAGCGCAAGUGACGGUAGGUGCAGAAGAAGGACCGGCCAACUACGUGCCAGCCGCCGCAGUAA